CAGAAUGGGAGUUACUGGGAUAUGGAGAAUGAUCUGGAAUUAGAUAGCUAGAAAGGCAAUACAUCUUUGGGAAGGUAGUGAAAAACAUGGAAUUGUACACCUUAAAAGAGAGAGUUUUACUUUAUCUGUAUUGUAUCUCAAUUUAAAAAGAAAGAAAGGAGACAUUCAUAAACAGUUACUUGAGAGAGACCUUUGCUUAUCAGUCUUCACCAUAUGAGGAUCCCUCAGUUCCAUCAAGCCUUCAGGAAGAUGGGACUCCACCUGGCCAGAGUGUCCCCAGAUUCUUCUGGACGAGUCACUCAGUCUCUGAGUAUUGAGGAAAACCAAAUAGAACAAGGCUUCUUUCAUCACAGGAGACUUGACGACCAUCAUCUCUAAAGACAAAACGAAAACACACAGGCUGACAAACAGAACAGCAAACCCCACUUCUGGAACCAGACACUAGACCUCACUUUAACCCUUCAUAACAAGUCCCAAUCUUUACCUGUCUGCUCAGAGGCUUGGGACAGUCCUGAAUGAAUGAGCAGUAGUACCUCCUGCAGCAUGAAUCUCAUCAGGACACAGCAUGCAUCUCCAUGUGGCCAUGGAGCCAGCCAGCCUAGUGCUGUGCAUGGUACAGUAACUCAAGAUGACUAUGGCAGGGAUAAGCAGAGGAAAGAAACAUGAACUCCCAGCUGAAACUGCCCUGAGAACUUUGAAAUCCAUGUGUUCACACUGUCAGUCUGCUGCUUAUCCCAGCUCACUUUAUGGUUUCCUCUCUUGC
Molecule: long non-coding RNA, 763 nt
Filed under: Chinchilla lanigera (long-tailed chinchilla)
Lineage: Eukaryota; Metazoa; Chordata; Mammalia; Rodentia; Chinchillidae
Description: lncRNA (ENSCLAG00000027548.1)
Source: RNAcentral